GACGAACGCGGCGGCGUGCUUAACACAUGCAAGUCGAACGAAAAGAGGGAAAGAGCUUGCUCUUUCCGGAAUUGAGUGGCAAACGGGUGAGUAACACGUAAACAACCUGCCUUCAGGAUGGGGACAACAGACGGAAACGACUGCUAAUACCGAAUAAGUUCCAAGAGCCGCAUGGCCCAUGGAAGAAAAGGUGGCCUCUACCUGUAAGCUAUCGCCUGAAGAGGGGUUUGCGUCUGAUUAGCUGGUUGGAGGGGUAACGGCCCACCAAGGCGACGAUCAGUAGCCGGUCUGAGAGGAUGAACGGCCACACUGGAACUGAGACACGGUCCAGACUCCUACGGGAGGCAGCAGUGGGGAAUCUUCCGCAAUGGGGCGAAAAGCCUGACGGGAGCAAACGCCCGCGUGAGUGAACGACGGGCCCUUUCGGGGUUGUAAAAACUUCUG
This 444-nucleotide ribosomal RNA is filed under the name Dialister invisus. RNAcentral describes it as "bacterial SSU rRNA". It matches the Rfam family "Bacterial small subunit ribosomal RNA", at positions 28 to 436 of the family's 1533-position model. Lineage: Bacteria; Bacillati; Bacillota; Negativicutes; Veillonellales; Veillonellaceae. The record is from RNAcentral.